UAGGAAACGAUAGCUAAUACGCAUAACAAUGGAUGACACAUGUCAUUUAUUUGAAAGGGGCAAUUGCUCCACUACAAGAUGGACCUGCGUUGUAUUAGCUAGUAGGUGAGGUAACGGCUCACCUAGGCGACGAUACAUAGCCGACCUGAGAGGGUGAUCGGCCACACUGGGACUGAGACACGGCCCAGACUCCUACGGGAGGCAGCAUG
Molecule: ribosomal RNA, 209 nt
Filed under: uncultured bacterium
Lineage: Bacteria
Description: partial 16S ribosomal RNA
Rfam family: Bacterial small subunit ribosomal RNA
Source: RNAcentral